UGGGGAAUAUUGGACAAUGGGCGCAAGCCUGAUCCAGCAAUGCCGCGUGGGUGAAGACGGCCUGCGGGUUGUAAAGCCCUUUAGGCGGGGAGGAACGGCGUCGUGCGAACAGUGCGGCGUUCUGACGGUACCCGCGGAAUAAGCACCGGCCAACUCCGUGCCAGCAGCCGCGGUAAUACGGAGGGUGCGAGCGUUAAUCGGAAUUACUGGGCGUAAAGCGUGCGUAGGCGGUUUUGUCAGUCAGCCGUGAAAGCCCCGGGCUCAACCUGGGAACGGCGGUUGAGACGGCGAAACUGGAGUGGGCUAGAGGACCGUGGAAUUCCCGGUGUAGCGGUGAAAUGCGUAGAGAUCGGGAGGAACACCGAUGGCGAAGGCAGCGGUCUGGGGCCACACUGACGCUGAGGCACGACGGCGUGGGGAGCAAACAGG
RNAcentral lists this ribosomal RNA (429 nucleotides) under uncultured bacterium. RNAcentral describes it as "bacterial SSU rRNA". It matches the Rfam family "Bacterial small subunit ribosomal RNA", at positions 355 to 776 of the family's 1533-position model. The record is from RNAcentral.